AUAAACACAGCGAAUAGACGAAGUACUAGCCGAUUUUUUUCAGAGAGACCACGGAAGGUGAGAGUGGUCAAAAAAGGCUAGGAAAUGCACCUAGGAGUGGCUUUGGCGCAAGUCAAAGACGAAGCAGCGGACGUUACCCGCUUGAAGGCAGUGCCGAACUGCGAACAAAAGUGGGACCACGCAAAAAAGCGUCUUUUGA
Regulatory RNA element from Enterococcus casseliflavus EC20, 199 nucleotides. It matches the Rfam family "T-box leader". Rfam says of the family: Uncharged tRNA acts as the effector for transcription antitermination of genes in the T-box leader family. T-boxes are found upstream of many aminoacyl-tRNA synthetase genes and some amino acid biosynthetic genes usually in Gram-positive bacteria. The anticodon of a specific tRNA base pairs to a specifier sequence within the T-box motif, and the NCCA acceptor tail of the tRNA base pairs to a conserved bulge in the T-box antiterminator hairpin. The record is from Rfam. Lineage: Bacteria; Bacillati; Bacillota; Bacilli; Lactobacillales; Enterococcaceae.